AUCCGCGGUGGUGUGGGUACUGUAUAUUGCUAUUACGGGAUGCAAUAGAAAUAGAAAUGUGGAUUUGAGUCGCGAAUACGCUGCCGAUCUGAAUCAGCCGUGUUAAACUAUUAAACUAUUCAAGUAAUAAAGGACUUUAGACCAUCUACCAAAGCUGCACCCUCUCCAUCCCAUGUAUUUACAAAGAUUUUCAUUAAAUGGCUGAUUACCUUUAAUUGUGUGCACUGACACAAUUAAACUCAAUUAAGGAACUGGACAUUUGUUUUCCCCAUUUGGCUUGCUUUUCGUUAGUUUUCAGUGUUACUUAUUUUUUAGUUAUUUUUCAGUUACUUUUCUAUUUGUUUCUCACCAACGGCGCAUGCGCCUGUUAUGGACGCGCUGCUUCGACGCGAGUCACUCUCAGCGAGAGGCUAACGAACGACGGUCUCAGCCCACCCGCCACGCUGCUUCACCUCGCCGCGCGGUGAUGGGGACAGGUCGCCGUGGUGACGGUGAGUGACAGGCCCCCAGAUGUAGGCGCUGUGUGUUUUCUGUUCUUCUCUCCCCCCUGGGAUUCAUUCUAAUGAAGGAACCAGGAGGGGUCAAAAUGACGAUGACGGAGAAAGAGCGGCGCCUUCUGUCAAAGCGCGGGUCCAAUGGCACGGGCGCCCACACGCUGACCCGCCAGGAGGGCGCCCACACGCUGACCCGCCAGGAGGUCGCCCACACGCUGACCCGCCAGGAGGGCGCCCUCACGCUGACCCGCCAGGAGGGCGCCCACACGCUGACCCGCCAGGAGGGCGCCCACACGCUGACCCGCCAGGAGGGCGCUCUCACGCUGACCCGCCAGGAGGGCGCCCACUAGCUGACCCGCCAGGAGGGCGCCCAUACGCUGACCCGCCAGGAGGGCGCUCUCACGCUGACCCGCCAGGAGGGUGCUCUCACGCUGUCAUACCUAUGUCUUAUUAACAUUGAAAAUACAUAUCAACCCAGCCAUUCAUCAAGUCACUUUCUUAUUCAAGGUCGCGGGGGGCUUAGGGUUGGCGUUAGUUUACAGUGGAUAAAUGUCUGCUGGAUAAAGAUCUCCAAAGAUGCUUAUUUCACAAGCGUGGAGAAAACACAUCUUCUUAGAAACUACUUCACAAUAUAAACCUAAAACAAGGUAAUGAGAUGCCAUUGGUACCAGCAAUAGAAAUCUUUACACGGUUGUCAGUGAAGGGUUUAAUGUUUUACAUGGACUUAUGUGGAGUGUUGUCAGCGAGGCAAAUAUAUCAUUUUUGACAAGACACGAACUGAUCUCGCUUUAUAUUCACAAUUGGUGUUAAUUAGCUAGCAAUCUAGCUAUCAACGUAAAUACCAACAAAAUUAGCGAUAUAAAGUGAUCCAUAGAAAGUAGUACAAAUAUACUAGUUCAAUGGAUGACUUCAUGAAACAUCUUUUCAUUGGACAAUUUGAUGUCAAACGCUGUCGGAAGAUGGGAAAAUGGGUGUAUUCCAUCCAUAGUAAAAACCCACGAUCGUGAAAAA
Molecule: non-coding RNA, 1505 nt
Organism: Paramormyrops kingsleyae
Lineage: Eukaryota; Metazoa; Chordata; Actinopteri; Osteoglossiformes; Mormyridae
Source: RefSeq, a predicted model, not a curated record